GAUGAACGCUGGCGGCGUGCCUAAUACAUGCAAGUCGAGCGAACAGACGAGGAGCUUGCUCCUCUGACGUUAGCGGCGGACGGGUGAGUAACACGUGGAUAACCUACCUAUAAGACUGGGAUAACUUCGGGAAACCGGAGCUAAUACCGGAUAAUAUAUUGAACCGCAUGGUUCAAUAGUGAAAGACGGUUUUGCUGUCACUUAUAGAUGGAUCCGCGCCGCAUUAGCUAGUUGGUAAGGUAACGGCUUACCAAGGCAACGAUGCGUAGCCGACCUGAGAGGGGGAUCGGCCACCCGGGAACUGAGACACGGUCCAGCCUCCUACGGGAGGAAGCAGUAGGUAAUCUUCCGAAAUGGGCGAAGGCCUAACGGAGCAACGCGGCUGGAGUGAUGAAGGUCUCCGGAUGGUAAAGCUCUGUAUUAGGGAAGAACAAAUGUGUAAGUAACUAUGCACGUCUUGACGGUACCUAAUCAGAAAGCCACGGCUAACUACGUG
This 496-nucleotide ribosomal RNA is filed under the name uncultured bacterium. RNAcentral describes it as "partial 16S ribosomal RNA". It matches the Rfam family "Bacterial small subunit ribosomal RNA", at positions 28 to 507 of the family's 1533-position model. The record is from RNAcentral.